GCGGGAUUAGCUCAGUUGGUAGAGCGCUAGCUUCCCAAGCUGGAAGUCGCGAGUUCGAGUCUCGUAUCCCGCUCCA
This 76-nucleotide transfer RNA is filed under the name Saprospirales bacterium. RNAcentral describes it as "tRNA-Gly". It matches the Rfam family "tRNA". Rfam says of the family: Transfer RNA (tRNA) molecules are approximately 80 nucleotides in length. Lineage: Bacteria; Pseudomonadati; Bacteroidota; Saprospiria; Saprospirales. The record is from RNAcentral.